UACAGAGGUCUCAAGCGUUGUUCGGAUUCAUUGGGCGUAAAGGGUGCGUAGGUGGCGCUGUAAGUCAGAUGUGAAAUUUCGGAGCUUAACUCCGAAACUGCAUUUGAUACUGCGGUGCUUGAGGACUGGAGAGGAGAUUGGAAUUCACGGUGUAGCAGUGAAAUGCGUAGAUAUCGUGAGGAAGACCAGUGGCGAAGGCGGAUCUCUGGACAGUUCCUGACACUGAGGCACGAAGGCCAGGGGAGCAAACGGG
This 253-nucleotide ribosomal RNA is filed under the name uncultured bacterium. RNAcentral describes it as "partial 16S ribosomal RNA". It matches the Rfam family "Bacterial small subunit ribosomal RNA", at positions 524 to 776 of the family's 1533-position model. The record is from RNAcentral.